RNAcentral lists this ribosomal RNA (330 nucleotides) under uncultured eukaryote. RNAcentral describes it as "partial 18S ribosomal RNA". It matches the Rfam family "Eukaryotic small subunit ribosomal RNA", at positions 1470 to 1796 of the family's 1831-position model. The record is from RNAcentral.
CCCUUAGAUGUUCUGGGCUGCACGCGCGCUACACUGAUGCGCUCAACGAGUUUAUGACCUUGCCCGGAAGGGUUGGGUAAUCUUCUUAAAACGCAUCGUGAUGGGGAUAGAUUAUUGCAAUUAUUAAUCUUCAACGAGGAAUUCCUAGUAAGCGCGAGUCAUCAGCUUGCAUUGAUUACGUCCCUGCCCUUUGUACACACCGCCCGUCGCUCCUACCGAUUGAAUGUUCCGAUGAAUACCAUGGACUGAGAGUAUGAAUGGGUUCGCCUAUUUCUGCUUCUCGGGAAGUGGAGUAAAUCCUAACAUUUAGAGGAAGGAGAAGUCGUAACA